This 959-nucleotide ribosomal RNA is filed under the name uncultured archaeon. RNAcentral describes it as "bacterial SSU rRNA". It matches the Rfam family "Archaeal small subunit ribosomal RNA", at positions 42 to 1002 of the family's 1478-position model. The record is from RNAcentral.
CUCUAAGCCAUGCGGRGUCAUUGUAGCAAUACAAGGCAGAACGGCUCAGUAACGCGUAGUCAAUCUACCCUAUGGACGGGAAAUAACCUCGGGAAACUGAGAAUAAUGCCCGAUAGAACAUUAUGCCUGGAAUGGUUUAUGUUUCAAAUGAUUUAUCGCCAUAGGAUGGGACUGCGGCCUAUCAGUUUGUUGGUGAGGUAAUGGCCCACCAAGACUAUUACAGGUACGGGCUCUGAGAGGAGUAGCCCGGAGAUGGGUACUGAGACACGGACCCAGGCCCUAUGGGGCGCAGCAGGCGAGAAAACUUUGCAAUGUGCGAAAGCACGACAAGGUUAAUCCGAGUGGUUUCUGCUAAAGAAACCUUUUGUCAGUCCUAGAAACACUGACGAAUAAGGGGUGGGCAAGUUCUGGUGUCAGCCGCCGCGGUAAAACCAGCACCUCAAGUGGUCAGGAUGAUUAUUGGGCCUAAAGCAUCCGUAGCUCGUUUUGUAAGUUUUCGGUUAAAUCCAUGCGCUUAACGUAUGGGCUGCCGGGAAUACUGCAUAACUAGGAAGUGGGAGAGGUAGACGGUACUCGGUAGGAAGGGGUAAAAUCCUUUGAUCUAUUGAUGACCACCUGUGGCGAAGGCGGUCUACCAGAACACGUUCGACGGUGAGGGAUGAAAGCUGGGGGAGCAAACCGGAUUAGACACCCGGGUAGUCCCAGCUGUAAACUAUGCAAACUCAGUGAUGCAUUGGCUUGUGGCCAAUGCAGUGCUGCAGGGAAAGCCGUUAAGUUUGCCGCCUGGGAGGUACGUACGCAAGUAUGAAACUUAAAGGAAUUGGCGGGGGAGCACCACAAGGGGUGAAGCCUGCGGUUCAAUUGGAGUCAACGCCAGAAAUCUUACCCGGAGAGACAGCAGAAUGAAGGUCAAGCUGAAGACUUUACCAGACAAGCUGAGAAGGUGKUGCAUGGCCCCA